CCCGCCCCCAGUGUCACGUGCCAGGUCUCCGACGCGCCCCCGUGUCACGUGCUGUGAUCCGGACCGUCCCGAAGCAAGAUGGCGCGGGGUGGGGGUUUUUGUUGAGACCGAUCGGCUUCGUCGCGAAAAAGAAAGUUGAGCUUCGAGGGCUAAUAAUGCGAGUGUGAAAUGUUUUCCGCUCCGGCAGUGUGGAUGACAAGACCUGCUCUCUCUAUGCGGAGUGAGGAGUUGUGCAGCCGUAGUUAUCACAUACAUAAACAUUUAUUUAGGACACCCAGUUCCUGAGUGUUUGUCAAACACACGCUCGGCCUCCGGCUCAGGAGGAAAUGGCAGACUCGCAGCAUCGGCCUUGUGCCGCCGCCGGCAAACCGCCCCAGUUCCAGCCAGUUGACUCUCUCACGGCUCCGAGAAGAGCAUGGAAAGUGGCCAAAGAUGAAUAAUCUAGGGCAUGGCUUUCAUAAGUGGGUAAUGAGCUCUGAGGCCAUGGAGCACUGACUGAGUGAAGAGCUGCAAGACCGCUUUAAAUGCCCUUUUUUUUUUUUAAAACUGUGGGCAUGGCCUAAAUGACUCAACCUCAAGACCAAGCUUCUGCAGAAGUUUUUUUUUAAAUGACCACUUUAUAGAGGAAAAUCAAUAGUAAUGGACUUGGAUACCAAAAGAGAAACUCUGCCAUUUAGUGCCCUAUUUAUGUUUGCUGCCAACAACAAUUUGUUUUUACAGAUGGGAAGCAAAACUGUUUCACAAGGUGACGUAUGCUCUGUGCCUCCAGACCUUUUUGCAUUAUUGCAUUGGCUCUGGUAGAGAACUGUAAAAUAAACAGAUUAGACUGAACAAAA
Rhincodon typus (whale shark) is the source of this 836-nucleotide long non-coding RNA. RefSeq lists it as uncharacterized. The record is from RefSeq and is a predicted model, not a curated record. NCBI's taxonomy places the organism in Eukaryota, Metazoa, Chordata, Chondrichthyes, Orectolobiformes, Rhincodontidae. The transcript has 3 exons.